UCCUGGUUGCUUAGAGGUUAAAGCAUCUGCCUGGAAUGAGGAAGACCUGGGUUCGAUCCCUGGGUCGGGAA
Molecule: transfer RNA, 71 nt
Filed under: Bos taurus (domestic cattle)
Lineage: Eukaryota; Metazoa; Chordata; Mammalia; Artiodactyla; Bovidae
Rfam family: tRNA
About the family: Transfer RNA (tRNA) molecules are approximately 80 nucleotides in length. Their secondary structure includes four short double-helical elements and three loops (D, anti-codon, and T loops). Further hydrogen bonds mediate the characteristic L-shaped molecular structure. tRNAs have two regions of fundamental functional importance: the anti-codon, which is responsible for specific mRNA codon recognition, and the 3' end, to which the tRNAs corresponding amino acid is attached (by aminoacyl-tRNA synthetases). tRNAs cope with the degeneracy of the genetic code in two manners: having more than one tRNA (with a specific anti-codon) for a particular amino acid; and 'wobble' base-pairing, i.e. permitting non-standard base-pairing at the 3rd anti-codon position.
Source: Rfam by way of RNAcentral